AGUUUUAUAGUUUAAUAAAAACAUUAAUUUUGUAAAUUAAAAAUAUACUUAUCUAUUAAAACUU
This 64-nucleotide transfer RNA is filed under the name Solenopsis invicta (red fire ant). RNAcentral describes it as "tRNA-Thr". The record is from RNAcentral. Lineage: Eukaryota; Metazoa; Arthropoda; Insecta; Hymenoptera; Formicidae. RNAcentral also lists the same sequence under 1 other name.